Long non-coding RNA from Mauremys reevesii (Reeves's turtle), 675 nucleotides. RefSeq lists it as uncharacterized. NCBI's taxonomy places the organism in Eukaryota, Metazoa, Chordata, Testudines, Geoemydidae. The transcript is spliced from 5 exons. The record is from RefSeq and is a predicted model, not a curated record.
ACCUGAAGGACUUAUCAGGCAUGUAGUCGACUGCACUUAUGCAUACGACUUGAAAAAAAAAUACCAAGCUACACCACAUUUUAUGACUCAUAGAAGGUACCUUCCAUCCACUGGAGGCACUGGGAAAAUAAGUGAUUUAUUCAGGGUCAUACAGGAAAUCUGUGUCAGAAUCAGUCAUAGAAGCCUGGACUCUUGAUCCUGACCUCACUGUAAAGUACUGAUCCUGCCAACACGCAUCCUUGGGAGUCCAAUUAAAUUCAACAGAACUACUCAAGUGUCUUACAGAAACUAGCUCUUGGAGUUGAAAGUAUAAAAGAAGAAAAAUAAUGGCUGAAAACAACCACCACCACAGCCCAAUGGCACUUUUUCUCUUCGCUCACCCACAUAGGGUUAGGCGUUGUGGUGCUUCAGUAUAGAAUCUAGUGAGAUGAGUGAUAGUGCUCUGCAGGACAAAUGAUUGCUGACUAAAGAAAGGAAGAGUUACAGAAGGAAGAAAAAUAAAAAUGUUGCAGGACUGACAACUGUUGCUUUUCCCCACCCCCACGAAAAUAAACUAAAUUAAACUUCAAUCAGACUUCAGUUCCACACCCUGAAUUAAGCAAGCUGCUAGAGCAAUAGUGCUCAUUUGAGUAGUUACUAUUAGAGAGUUUACACUUCCUGUUCCAACCCCAUCUU